RNAcentral lists this small RNA (83 nucleotides) under Marmota monax (woodchuck). The record is from RNAcentral. Lineage: Eukaryota; Metazoa; Chordata; Mammalia; Rodentia; Sciuridae.
GCUGGGUGUGGUGAUGCACAUCUGUAAUCCCAACAGCUCAGGAGGCUGAGGCGGGAGGAUUUCGAGUUCAAAGCCAGUCUCAG